CCCCAGAUAGCUCAGCUGGUAGAGAAUCUGCCUCUAAUGCAUGAGAUCCUGGUUCAAUUCCUGGGUUGGGAA
RNAcentral lists this transfer RNA (72 nucleotides) under Ovis aries (sheep). It matches the Rfam family "tRNA". From Rfam's summary of the family: Transfer RNA (tRNA) molecules are approximately 80 nucleotides in length. The record is from Rfam by way of RNAcentral. Lineage: Eukaryota; Metazoa; Chordata; Mammalia; Artiodactyla; Bovidae.